GAUGAACGCUGGCGGCGUGCCUAAUACAUGCAAGUCGAGCGAACAGACGAGGAGCUUGCUCCUCUGACGUUAGCGGCGGACGGGUGAGUAACACGUGGAUAACCUACCUAUAAGACUGGGAUAACUUCGGGAAACCGGAGCUAAUACCGGAUAAUAUAUUGAACCGCAUGGUUCAAUAGUGAAAGACGGUUUUGCUGUCACUUAUAGAUGGAUCCGCGCCGCAUUAGCUAGUUGGUAAGGUAACGGCUUACCAAGGCGACGAUGCGUGGCCGACCCGAGAGGGUGAUCGGCCACACUGGAACUGAGACACGGUCCAGACUCCUACGGGAGGCAGCAGUAGGGAAUCUUCCGCAAUGGGCGAAAGCCUGACGGAGCAACGCCGCGUGAGUGAUGAAGGUCUUCGGAUCGUAAAACUCUGUUAUUAGGGAAGAACAAAUGUGUAAGUAACUAUGCACGUCUUGACGGUACCUAAUCAGAAAGCCACGGCUAACUACGUG
This 497-nucleotide ribosomal RNA is filed under the name uncultured bacterium. Its description in RNAcentral is "partial 16S ribosomal RNA". It matches the Rfam family "Bacterial small subunit ribosomal RNA", at positions 28 to 507 of the family's 1533-position model. The record is from RNAcentral.